This 1476-nucleotide long non-coding RNA is filed under the name Homo sapiens (human). RNAcentral describes it as "HSALNT0145922". Lineage: Eukaryota; Metazoa; Chordata; Mammalia; Primates; Hominidae. The record is from RNAcentral.
UUUGCAUUGUAGUGUUCUCUAGAUGGCUCCGUGCAUGACACAAAACAAGAAUAAAUAUUAAAGUGCCAGUGUUAAAGAUUUUAAGUGAAUCUUGAAAAUCUGCUAGCCUUUAAGAGCAAACUUCUCUUCACCAAAGGAUGACUUAAAAUAAGAAAGGUAAUAAUGGUACGUCCCAGCUGUGUUUCAUUCUGGCUGUUUUCACAAACUUCCCUCUUCUCUUGGUGCUUCCUUUACCAAGUAUUUCAGAGAAAGCCGGUAUCUGUUCUGAACUAACACCUCACCCUGCAAAGACUUAAAGACUUCCCACUGGGUUCCAGCCGGCACACCCAACCUCUUCAGGACCUGAAUACAGCAGAGUGACUAUUCCAGUUUGAAAGGACAUUCAAGAGCACAAAAGACCAGUGACUUCUGGGGAUAUUUCCUGAUGUUCUUGGCACUUUUACAAUUUCUGCUGUUUUUCCUUUUUUACGUAAAUCCUCCCCUAGUAACCAGCAUGGGGUAUUUCUGAAGUUCAUUUAGUGCCAUUUUUCUGUAUUGUCCAACAGAUUGUUUCUAGUACCUUCUGAUGUGUGGCAGCUGUGUUUUAACAAUUCCAAGUAUACCAUAUGAAAGUAAUCAAAGACAUUAACACACUAGUGUCCGCAGCUCUAGGGGUAUUUCCUGCAUGUGGUACUGGUAGGCCAUGUGAAGUUGUACAUAAAUUACUUUGUUUUGUUUUUUUGGUUUGGGGUAUUUUUUUGCUUGUUUUGUUUUGUUCUUAGCAUGCUGAAGUGUUCUCUAAAUAUAUGUGAACUCAUCACAUGCUUGUAUUUGUGGAUCCAUGAUUCUGUGGACAUAGCUAGCUACAAAGAGCAUCAUACAAAAAUCAGCAUUCAAGUAUAAUGUUUACAGAGCAUAGAAUAUUUCACAUAUUAAUCUGUGCAAAGUGAUCUCAGAUUCCCAAAGGAGGAAAUAGUUAAAGUUUAGUGUUUUCUCUGAUAUAGUGUACCCUGGGUAGGGCAGUAAUGGCUAACUACAUAACAUCCUAAUGUAAGCAGUUAUUGGGAAAUGUUUCACAUACAGUAUUUUAUUAUAGUAAGAUUGCACUGUACUUAAAGUAAAUAUCCCUGGAUCCCCUCCAAAGCUGAAAGAAUGUAGUUAGGUUACAGAAUCUGCUCACUCAGCAAUCUGUCUUAUAAUAAAUUAGGGUUUUGAAAAAAGGGCUGUUUUGUUUAUCACAAAAGGUAGGGAGAAGUAAAGAGUAACCUGAAAAAAGUAUACUUUCAAAGUUUGUCAAUAAGGCAGUAGGUUGUACAAUCUUGAAAGAAUGGAUAAUCAUAUGUACAUUGUAUUACCUCACUGAUUGCAAUAUCGAUUAUAUCAUAUAAGCAAAGUAGCCAAGGAUGAAGCUUAGAAAUUAAAUAUCCAGAUGUGACAGGUGCCAUCAUAAGUCGUAUUUUAAGAUUUAAGUCUAGCUUAUCGUAUAUACAAUUUCAC